Molecule: non-coding RNA, 3047 nt
Organism: Lactuca sativa (garden lettuce)
Lineage: Eukaryota; Viridiplantae; Streptophyta; Magnoliopsida; Asterales; Asteraceae
Source: RefSeq, a predicted model, not a curated record
AUGUAUUACAUUACACGAAUACGAAUUACACUACACUACAUUACCCUAAUCUCCUAAACACAGCCGCCAUCAAACCGAUUCUCAUCGUCUCCACCAACUUCUCCCACCGAAGAGCUGAUCCAAUUACUCACUAAAAUCCUAAAUCAAUUCUUCCUAAACGCACCCAACCACCAUUACAUCUUCUACCUAUCUGUUCUUCCUGCUUUCAUAAGGUACAACACAUCGCAUAUUUCGUCCGCCGUCAUCUUCACCGAGAAGCGAGCGUCACCACAACGGUCACUGACUCUACACCAUGGAUAGUAAUCGUUUUCUCAAUCCUAGGCAGAAACCUACAUCGAUUUCUUCUGCAAUUCGUCUUAGUUUGGUUUCGGUCAGUGGUUUUUCCAAUUUUUUUUGUCUGUUUCUUUGUUGGGUUAUGGUUAACGAAGGUCGAUUUGUUAGGUUUUGGUGUUCAUUUUUUUUGUUUGACUGCAUUCGUCACUCAAAAUAUGAGGUUAUCAGAUUCGAUUAUUUCUUGAUUUCUUCUUCUACUUUCUUUCACAUGUUCUUCGUUAACUACAAAAUCAAAUAAAGCCCUGAUAUCUAAGAUGGAGCUGUUAGAUACGGUACAUCAAACAGAAGGGCUUCAAGUUUUUUGUGUAUCUCUCUCCUGUCUCAACAUAUGCUCAUUUUGUUUUGUAUAUGUUGCAACAGAAACUUGAUUAAAUCUAAUUUUUGAGCUGGAAUCCUAGGAAAGUCUGAAUUUUUAACGGUAAUGUAUCGUGAUUGAAUCUUAUUAAUUCUAUUUGCAUCUGUUUUUGUUCAGUUUUGUUUCUAAGUUAACAAGAAUAUAUUGUGUAAUGGUUGCAGACUUGCAACUUGAUUGUAUGCCUAUAUUGUGAUGCAAUUCAGGUCCCAUUAGCUUUAAAUAUGGCAAAAAAAAAAGUUUCUACUGGUGGUGUUUUGUAUUUAUAUUCCUCUAAUUUUAAAUUUGUAUGUUAUUUGUAUGCCAGGUAUAUAAUAAGUGUCUGAACAAAACAAGCAAAGUGAUCUCUUUAUGACCAUCAGGCUAUACAACUCACAUUGUCACUUUAACCUCAAGUAUGUUGUUCUUUUCUCCUCAGGUGAUGUUUUUUUAACUUCAUAAACUUAAUCAGACAAGUCUCCACAUUUGUUACAUAUAUACAUAGAUCUCAUUUCUCUUAUCUCGACUCUUAAUCUAUGUAAAUGCAUAUUUCAGGGGUCCAUCAAUAGAUACAAUGGGAUUAUAAUUAAAUACUAUGUUUUAUGUUUAAGAAAAUCCUGAUUUUAAUUUUGAAAGUUUGAUCUUUGGAUGCAGAUUGUGGAUAAAUUAAAUGAUAAGAGAGUAUUUGGGUAUGAUCUUGAAUUUUAAAGUUAUGUUCGCUACAGUAAUAAUCUUGAUAGCAGAUAGUUCAUAUUUGAUGAGAACAUGGUAUUUUAUCAGCAUUUUGUUCUAAUUUCCUAUUCUUUUUAUGUCAUAAUAUAUCAAAAUUGCCGUUUAGUUGUUAGAUAGAUAUUCUUGACUAAUUUUUUAAAAUAUGAUAUUGAUAAUGGAAUUAUAAUUGCAGGCCAACGAUGGAAAUGGACCAUAAGAGAUGAAGAUGAUAAGCCUCGACUUUUUAUUUAGAGGAAGACCCCUAUCUCAUUAAAAGAUAGUGGUGCUGCCUUCAACCAACCAUGCACAAACAUGGAUGUCACCAUUGGAAAUAGAUGAUGGGCCAACACUUCAUAUGAUUGUUUUCUGCAAGAAUGGUAACUCUGUGGUUGACUAACAGUUGUAAGAACAGUUUCUGGUGAUUUCUUAUACAUAUUCAAAACUUUUCCCUCCUCCUGAAGCUAAAGGUUAGAAAAUGAGUUUUCCCUCCUUCAUAACUAGAUUGAUGAAGAUGUGAUUAUUAUUCAUUUUUCUUAAGAUGUUUGUAUUUAACCCACAACCCCACUUGAUUUUGUUUAAUAAAUGCAAAAUAAUAUUGAUUUUGCUAGACUUUGAAAGGAAGCUAAACCAUUUGCCAAGCAUUGCAACCAAUAGUUUCCACAAAAAGAAAAGUUUGUUGUUGAUAAAAAGCAAUUGGAAACAUUAGACAAGAUAAAUCAGUUGAUCAGGUAGAACACUAUCUUUUCUUGCCAUUAAUCACUCUUUGAUAGCCAAUGCCAUCAGCAAAUUAAGUUAAAUUUCAUAAUUUGAAAUGUAUUCAAGUAAUUUUUCGGUGUACGAUAUUUUGAUUUUUUUGGAAUAGGAUUGCAAAUUUUGGUAUUUAGGUAAUAAAAAUCUGACAAAUGGUAAAAAUAUAUCAACUAUAAUUGUGUGUGUGUGGGGGGGGGGGGGGGGGGGCGGGGGUUGUUACUGUGUGUAUGUAUGUUAUUUGUAUCCGCUAGGUGGUCAUACAAGUCGAUUGAGUUGGCCAUGCAUUUGUAUUGUGUGUACAUAAUGUUGAUUGCAUCUUCAUAUAGCCAUUAGCGGUUUUUCAGGUUGAAGACAAAUAAUGGAUCUAUGAUUCACAAAGGUAUAAAAGUUGGUUGCUAUUUGACGCCAUCAGCAUCUUGCAAAGCUUGGAGUCCUAAUUCGUAUAUUUCCUAAACCGAAAUGAAAUCUUAAAAUAUGGACUAAAAUGAAAAAAAAUAUAUACUUUUUUACCUAAACCAAAAAAAAAUCAUCAGCCACAUGGAGUAAAGUGGAGUUUAAAAGUUUUUUUUAAUCUUGAUUGCUGAUUGAAUUAACCAGUUGUAACCUUGAAUUUUUUUUUCCGAUGCUACCUAUGGUUCUUUUUUGUAGACAUGGAGGAACUUUGCUUGAUGGAAAAAAUAAAGUUCGCUGCUAUAUUGGUGUUUUUUCUCUCAUGAUGCUUACUGAUGCUAUGAGUUUCAUUUGAUGUUGGUAAUUUCGCAUGGUGAUGUCAUAAUUGACCUUAAGUGUUGUUUUUUUUUUCUCUUGUAAAGCUUUUUGUUUGAUACUCUUUGUAACUUGUUGGAAGUUGGCUUUUAUUUGUUUUAUUAUAGUUUGUCAUAGUUCAAAAAAAAAUAUAACUAGACAUAAUCAUUUGAUUCUA